AGGAUGUGGCGUUGCCCAGACAACUAGGAUGUUGGCUUAGAAGCAGCCAUCAUUUAAAGAGUGCGUAAUAGCUCACUAGUCGAGUGACACUGCGCCGAAAAUGUACCGGGGCUAAACAUAUUACCGAAGCUGUGGAUUGUCCUUUGGACAAUGGUAGGAGAGCGUUCUAAGGGCGUUGAAGCAUGAUCGUAAGGACAUGUGGAGCGCUUAGAAGUGAGAAUGCCGGUGUGAGUAGCGAAAGACGGGUGAGAAUCCCGUCCACCGAUUGACUAAGGUUUCCAGAGGAAGGCUCGUCCGCUCUGGGUUAGUCGGGUCCUAAGCUGAGGCCGACAGGCGUAGGCGAUGGAUAACAGGUUGAUAUUCCUGUACCACCUAUAAUCGUUUUAAUCGAUGGGGGGACGCAGUAGGAUAGGCGAAGCGUGCGAUUGGAUUGCACGUCUAAGCAGUAAGGCUGAGUAUUAGGCAAAUCCGGUACUCAUUAAGGCUGAGCUGUGAUGGGGAGAAGACAUUGUGUCUUCGAGUCGUUGAUUUCACACUGCCGAGAAAAGCCUCUAGAUAGAAAAUAGGUGCCCGUACCGCAAACCGACACAGGUAGUCAAGAUGAGAAUUCUAAGGUGAGCGAGCGAACUCUCGUUAAGGAACUCGGCAAAAUGACCCCGUAACUUCGGGAGAAGGGGUGCUCUUUAGGGUUAACGCCCAGAAGAGCC
RNAcentral lists this ribosomal RNA (707 nucleotides) under Staphylococcus aureus. RNAcentral describes it as "partial 23S ribosomal RNA". It matches the Rfam family "Bacterial large subunit ribosomal RNA", at positions 1070 to 1778 of the family's 2925-position model. The record is from RNAcentral. Lineage: Bacteria; Bacillati; Bacillota; Bacilli; Caryophanales; Staphylococcaceae.